Diuraphis noxia (Russian wheat aphid) is the source of this 733-nucleotide long non-coding RNA. The record is from RefSeq and is a predicted model, not a curated record. NCBI's taxonomy places the organism in Eukaryota, Metazoa, Arthropoda, Insecta, Hemiptera, Aphididae.
UAUAAUAUUAUUAUUGUUAUAAGUAGUAAUUAUUAUCUCACAGGUAUGCUAACUUGGCGACUGCACAGCUUUUAUUGUAUACAAAUAUACACUAUAGCAUAUACCUACUAAUAUAUUCUAUGAUGACGUGUAUUAUGCURCUAACCGUGGUAUUAGCGUACAUAAUUAUCACGAGAACAUGCUCGGUUCAAUUAUAAUAUCAAAAUUAUUUAUUUUUCACUUCUGUGCUGUCCUGCGUAUCGUGUCUCGUACAUAGGUGAUCGUCUUAGAUCUUAUCUAAUAUGGUCUAAGGUGAUCGUCAUUCGUCAACAUAUCAUCAUAAUACCUGACGCAUUAUAAUGUAUUAUUAAUUCAAUAACUUCGUGCUGGGUAUUCGAACCGGUUUGUACGAUACUAUAAAAUUAUUGUAAUAACUACAGUACGUGUCGGUCACCACAAACUGACCUCCGGACCCACCAGCCGGCAAACCUGUUGUCUCCGUGUCGGAGACCAGUGCCGACGUAACGUGGUCCAGUCCGGCGUACGACGGCGGGUGCAUGGUCACCGGUUACGGCGUGGAAGUCCGACCGUUCAAUCAGUCCGAUUGGAAAUUAGUGGCCGACAAGUGUCACUCGUUAUCUCACAUUGUCCGGGGUCUGGCACCAGGUGAGUCGUACGUGUUCAGAGUCCGAGCGGAGAACAUGCACGGAUCGAGCGAAGCGAGCUUAGAAUCCACGCCUGUUUACAUACUGCA